AUAUACCCGGUUGGUAUGCCCCGCAUUUGUGGUCUCCUCUCUUGGCUUUGGAGCCCCCCUCCCUCUGUCUCUGUACGGGGGUGCCUUCUUCUUUUCUUCUUCUCCCUUCUUUCUUGCCUAUUAAACUCUCCACUUCUUAAUACCACUACACGUGUAUCUGUGUCAUUUUAUCCAAUUUGCAUGAGACAAGAGCCCUGGUGCCCCUCCACUCAUCAGAGCCGUAUCAUUUUGGUGCAUGGGCCAGGAAAAUCCAAAGUACAGCCUUCGUUGGAGUGUGCUUGAGAUAUUUUGCAGACCCUGCACUUGAUGGAUCAGCUGGCACCACCCAGAUCAAUAAACUGGCUCAUCUGAUCUUGUGGCCCCCACCCAGAACUGACUCUGCAAGAAGACAGCUCUGACUCCUGAUGAUUUCAUCUCUGACCAAUCUGCACUCCCAGAUCCCAGCACUUUGGGAGGACCAGACAGGCAGAUCACAAGGUCAGGAUGAGAGGUGACAGCGUGCUGGCAGCCCUCACUCACUCUGGGCGCCUCCUCGGCCUCCACGCCAACUCUCCCUGCGCUUGAGGAGCCCUUCAGCCCGCCGCUGCACUGUGGGAGCCCCUCUCUGGGCUGGCCGAGGCGGGAGCCCGCUCCCUCUGCUUGCCAGAGGUGUGGAGGGAGAGGCGCGGACGGGAACUGGGGCUGCGGGCCACGCUCGAGGGCCAGCAUGAGUUCCGGGUGGGCGUGGGCUCGGUGGGCCCCGCACUCAGAGAGGCCGGCUGGCGCCAUUGGCCCCAGGCAGUGAGGGGCUUAGCACCCAGACCAGCAGCUGCAGAGGGUGCGCCAGGUCCCCCAGCAGUGCCAGCCCACAGGUGCACUUGAAUUCUCGCAGGCCUCAGCUGCCUCCCCACGGGGCAGGGCUUGGGACCUGCAGCCCGCCAUGCCCAAGCGUCCCCCUGCCUGGGCUCCUGCACCGCCCCCUGCUCUGCGGGGCCUGGUCCCAUCAACCGCCCAAGGGCUGAGGAGUGCAGGCACAGGAUUGGUGGGCAGCUCCACCUGCAGCCCAGGUGCUAGGUCCACUAGGUGAAGCCAGCUGGGCUCUUGAGUCUAGUGGGCACUUGGAGAACCUUUAUGUCUAGCUAAGGGAUUGUAAAUACACCAAUCAGCACUCUGUGUCUAGCUCAAGGUUUGUAAACACACCAAUCAGCACCCUGUCAAAAUGGACCAAUCAGCUCUCUAUAAAACAGACCAGUUGGCUCUCUGUAAAAUGGGCCAAUCAGCAGGAUGUGGGUGGGGCCAGAUAAGGCAAUAAAAGCAGGCUGCCAGAGCCAGCAGUGGCAACUCGGCGUACCCUUCCACAUAGGAAGCUUUGUUCUUUUGAUCUUUCCAAUAAAUCUUGCUGCUGCUUAUCCUGGGUCUGCACUGCCUUUAUGAGCUGUAACAUCGUGAAGGUCUGCAGCUUCACGCCAGAGGCCAGCGAGACCACGAACCCACCAGAAGGAAGAAACUCGGAACACGUCCGAACAUCAGAAGGAACAAACUCCGGACAUGCCGCCUUUAAGAACUGAAACACUCACCGUGAGGGUCCGCAGCUUCAUUCUUGAAGUCAGUGAGACCAAGAACCCGCCAAUUCUGGACACAAGGAGAUCGAGACCAUCCUGGCUAACACGGUGAAACCCCAUCUCUACUAAAAAUACAAAAAAUUUAUUAGGCGUGUUGGCGGAUGCCUGUAGUCCCAGCUAGUCCCAGCUACUCCCAGCUACUUGGGAGGCUGAGGCGGGAGAAUGGCAUGAACCUGGGAGGCGGAGCUUGCAGUGAGCCGAGAUUGCGCCACUGCCCUCAAGCCUGGGCGACAGAGCAAGACUCCAUCUCAAAAAAACAAAACAAAAACAAACAAAAAAACCCUCUGUUUCCCGAAUGCUCAGGGAGACUGAUUUGAGUAAUAAUAAAACUCCUGGCUGGACACAGUGGCUCACGCCUGUAAUUUCAGCAAUUUGGGAGGCCAAGGCCGGUGGAUCACCUUAGGUUGGGAGUUUGAGACCAGCGUGACCAACAUGGAGAAAACACUGUCUCUACUAAAAAUACAAAAUUAGCCAGGUGUGGUGGCAAGUGCCUGUAAUCCCAGCUACUCAGGAGGCUGAGGCAGGAGAAUCACUUAAACCCUGGAGGCGGAGGUUGCAGUGAGCCGAGGUGGCACCAUUGUACUCCAGCCUGGGCAAAAAGAGCAAAACCGUCAAAAAAAAAAAAAAAAAAAAAAAAAAAACUCCGGUCUCCUGCACAGCUGGCUCUGUGUGAAUUACUCUUUAUUGCAAUUUUGCUGUCUUGAUGAAUCGGCUAUGUGUAGGCAGCGGGCAAGGUGAACCCCUUUGGCAGUUACAGGGGGAAGCUAAGGCUCAGGACACUCGCAGAAACCUGAGGAGGCUAGAAUUUUACCAGAUUACAAGCCUUAAAAUCAAACCUGAAGUUAGUGCCAGCGAACAACACGCUUAAAAAUAACUAAGAUGUUCUUUCUGGCUGUUCUAGAGGUCAAUAUAGAAAAAUGAUAGUAACUUUGAUGUUAUUUUAUGUUAUGUAUUUCUUUUUUUCUUUUGAGACGGAGUCUGUCUCUGUUGCCCAGGCUGGAGUGCGGUGACGCAAUCUUGGCUCACUGCAACCUCCGCCUCCCGGGUUCAAGAUAUUCUUCUGCUUCAGCCAUCCAAGUAGCUGGGAUUACAGGUGUGUACCACCGUGCCUGGCAGUUAUGUGUGUUUCCCUACAAUCAAACAAUGAUUUAUUGUAAAAAAAAAAAAAAUCAAAAUAAACAAAACCUGAAAACUUGUAUGUGCUCUUUUAAUCAAUCUUUUUAAACAAACUUUUAGAAGAGUUAACAUUAUUAAAAACUGGAAAGAUCAGACAUGGUUUUUUCUUACUAAGAUAUCACUGGCUGUUUUGAUUCUUUCAUCACGUACAAGUUUAG
Molecule: long non-coding RNA, 2935 nt
Filed under: Homo sapiens (human)
Lineage: Eukaryota; Metazoa; Chordata; Mammalia; Primates; Hominidae
Description: HSALNT0385237
Source: RNAcentral